GACGAACGCUGGCGGCGUGCUUAACACAUGCAAGUCGAACGGAAAGGCCCUGCUUUUGUGGGGUGCUCGAGUGGCGAACGGGUGAGUAACACGUGAGUAACCUGCCCUUGACUUUGGGAUAACUUCAGGAAACUGGGGCUAAUACCGGAUAGGAGCUCCUGCUGCAUGGUGGGGGUUGGAAAGUUUCGGCUGUUGGGGAUGGAUUCGCGGCUUAUCAGCUGGUUGGUGGGGUAGGGGCUUACCAAGGCUUUGACGGGUAGCCGGCCUGAGAGGGUGAACGGGCACCAGGGGACUGAGAUACGGCCCAGAAGCCUACGGUAGGCAGUAGUGGGGAAUAUUGCACAAUGGGCGGAAGUCUGAGGCAGCAACGCCGCGUGCGGGAUGCCGGCCUUUGGGUUGUAAACCGCUUUCGCCGGUGACGAAGCGUGAGUGACGGUAACGGGUAAAGAAGCACCGGCUAACUACGUG
Molecule: ribosomal RNA, 468 nt
Filed under: uncultured bacterium
Lineage: Bacteria
Description: partial 16S ribosomal RNA
Rfam family: Bacterial small subunit ribosomal RNA
Source: RNAcentral